Molecule: non-coding RNA, 332 nt
Organism: Pogona vitticeps (central bearded dragon)
Lineage: Eukaryota; Metazoa; Chordata; Lepidosauria; Squamata; Agamidae
Source: RefSeq, a predicted model, not a curated record
CACACAAAGAGAACCUGCAGGAAGGGUUUCCAUAGUGAAGGGGUGCACAUGAGAUUUCACAGGGGGGACAGUGCCCUACAGUCUGUUUGGGGUCAGAAGUUGGCUUGCAAAGCAACAGAGUCAUCUGGGAAAGACUGCUGUCUAGAAUUCCUGAAAGUCACUGCUGGUCAAAGGAGACAACAGGGAGCUUGAUUGAACAUUGAGGCCUGGCCUUGGCACCCUGGUAGGAAUCUUUGUUGACCACCACCAUCACCACAACGAAGGUACCGAAAGGGGGAAAAGGGGAAGCUGUGGGAUCCUUAAUGUAGAGAAUAGGAAUGACGAUGAAGAAU